AGCAGAGAUGCUUGGUGCCUUCGGGAACUCUGAGACAGGUGCUGCAUGGCUGUCGUCAGCUCGUGUUGUGAAAUGUUGGGUUAAGUCCCGCAACGAGCGCAACCCUUAUCCUUUGUUGCCAGCGGCUCGGCCGGGAACUCAAAGGAGACUGCCGGUGAUAAACCGGAGGAAGGUGGGGAUGACGUCAAGUCAUCAUGGCCCUUACGGCCAGGGCUACACACGUGCUACAAUGGCGCAUACAAAGAGAAGCGACCUCGCGAGAGCAAGCGGACCUCACAAAGUGCGUCGUAGUCCGGAUUGGAGUCUGCAACUCGACUCCAUGAAGUCGGAAUCGCUAGUAAUCGUAGAUCAGAAUGCUACGGUGAAUACGUUCCCGGGCCUUGUACACACCGCCCGUCACACCAUGGGAGUGGGUUGCAAAAGAAGUAGGUAGCUUAACCUUCGGGAGGGCGCUUACCACUUUGUGAUUCAUGACUGGGGUGAAGUCGUAACAAGGUAGGCGUAGCGAG
This 509-nucleotide ribosomal RNA is filed under the name uncultured bacterium. Its description in RNAcentral is "bacterial SSU rRNA". It matches the Rfam family "Bacterial small subunit ribosomal RNA", at positions 999 to 1509 of the family's 1533-position model. The record is from RNAcentral.